AUUGAACGCUGGCGGAAUGCUUUACACAUGCAAGUCGAACGGUAGAGGGGGCAACCCCUUGAGAGUGGCGAACGGGUGAGUAAUAUAUCGGAACGUGCCCAGUCGUGGGGAUAACGUAGCGAAAGUUACGCUAAUACCGCAUACGAUCUACGGAUGAAAGCGGGGGACUCGCAAGAGCCUCGCGCGAUUGGAGCGGCCGAUAUCAGAUUAGGUAGUUGGUGGGGUAAAGGCUCACCAAGCCAACGAUCUGUAGCUGGUCUGAGAGGAUGAUCAGCCACACUGGGACUGAGACACGGCCCAGACUCCUACGGGAGGCAGCAGUGGGGAAUAUUGGACAAUGGGCGCAAGCCUGAUCCAGCAAUGCCGCGUGCAGGAUGAAGCU
This 382-nucleotide ribosomal RNA is filed under the name uncultured bacterium. RNAcentral describes it as "bacterial SSU rRNA". It matches the Rfam family "Bacterial small subunit ribosomal RNA", at positions 30 to 415 of the family's 1533-position model. The record is from RNAcentral.